UCGUCGAUCAAUUGCGGGCAGAUGAAAUGCACGUGCGAAUCGAUGCCGCCGGCCGUCACGAUCUUGCCUUCGCCGGCGAUGAUUUCCGUGCCCGGACCGAUGACGAUGGUGACGCCGGGCUGGAUGUCGGGAUUGCCAGCCUUGCCGAUGGCCUGGAUCCGGCCAUCCUUCAAGCCGAUGUCGGCCUUGACGAUGCCCCAAUGGUCCAGGAUGACCGCGUUCGUGAUGACGGUGUCCGCCACUUCCGCGCCGAUGCGCUGGGACUGGCCCAUGCCGUCGCGU
Small RNA from Bordetella genomosp. 9, 282 nucleotides. It matches the Rfam family "5' ureB small RNA". The record is from Rfam. NCBI's taxonomy places the organism in Bacteria, Pseudomonadati, Pseudomonadota, Betaproteobacteria, Burkholderiales, Alcaligenaceae.